AUUGAACGCUGGCGGCAGGCCUAACACAUGCAAGUCGAACGGUAGCACAGAGGAGCUUGCUCCUUGGGUGACGAGUGGCGGACGGGUGAGUAAUGUCUGGGAAACUGCCCGAUGGAGGGGGAUAACUACUGGAAACGGUAGCUAAUACCGCAUAACGUCUUCGGACCAAAGUGGGGGACCUUCGGGCCUCACACCAUCGGAUGUGCCCAGAUGGGAUUAGCUAGUAGGUGGGGUAAUGGCUCACCUAGGCGACGAUCCCUAGCUGGUCUGAGAGGAUGACCAGCCACACUGGAACUGAGACACGGUCCAGACUCCUACGGGAGGCAGCAGUGGGGAAUAUUGCACAAUGGGCGCAAGCCUGAUGCGGCCAUGCCGCGUGUAUGAAGAAGGCCUUCGGGUUGUAAAGUACUUUCAGCGGGGAGGAAGGCGUUAAGGUUAAUAACCUUGGCGAUUGACGUUACCCGCAGAAGGAGCACCGGCUAACUCCGUGCCAGCCGCCGCCGUAA
RNAcentral lists this ribosomal RNA (506 nucleotides) under uncultured bacterium. Its description in RNAcentral is "partial 16S ribosomal RNA". It matches the Rfam family "Bacterial small subunit ribosomal RNA", at positions 30 to 523 of the family's 1533-position model. The record is from RNAcentral.